Molecule: transfer RNA, 90 nt
Filed under: Endobacter medicaginis
Lineage: Bacteria; Pseudomonadati; Pseudomonadota; Alphaproteobacteria; Acetobacterales; Acetobacteraceae
Description: tRNA-Ser
Rfam family: tRNA
About the family: Transfer RNA (tRNA) molecules are approximately 80 nucleotides in length. Their secondary structure includes four short double-helical elements and three loops (D, anti-codon, and T loops). Further hydrogen bonds mediate the characteristic L-shaped molecular structure. tRNAs have two regions of fundamental functional importance: the anti-codon, which is responsible for specific mRNA codon recognition, and the 3' end, to which the tRNAs corresponding amino acid is attached (by aminoacyl-tRNA synthetases). tRNAs cope with the degeneracy of the genetic code in two manners: having more than one tRNA (with a specific anti-codon) for a particular amino acid; and 'wobble' base-pairing, i.e. permitting non-standard base-pairing at the 3rd anti-codon position.
Source: RNAcentral
GGAUGGGUGGCCGAGUGGCUUAAGGCGCACGCUUGGAAAGCGUGUGUACGUGAAAGCGUACCGUGGGUUCGAAUCCCACCCCAUCCGCCA